This 271-nucleotide ribosomal RNA is filed under the name uncultured bacterium. RNAcentral's name for it is "partial 16S ribosomal RNA". It matches the Rfam family "Bacterial small subunit ribosomal RNA", at positions 524 to 794 of the family's 1533-position model. The record is from RNAcentral.
UACGUAUGUCCCGAGCGUUAUCCGGAUUUAUUGGGCGUAAAGCGAGCGCAGACGGUUGAUUAAGUCUGAUGUGAAAGCCCGGAGCUCAACUCCGGAAUGGCAUUGGAAACUGGUUAACUUGAGUGCAGUAGAGGUAAGUGGAACUCCAUGUGUAGCGGUGGAAUGCGUAGAUAUAUGGAAGAACACCAGUGGCGAAGGCGGCUUACUGGACUGUAACUGACGUUGAGGCUCGAAAGUGUGGGUAGCAAACAGGAUUAGAAACCCCAGUAGU